This 1350-nucleotide ribosomal RNA is filed under the name Bacillus nakamurai. Its description in RNAcentral is "bacterial SSU rRNA". It matches the Rfam family "Bacterial small subunit ribosomal RNA", at positions 78 to 1414 of the family's 1533-position model. The record is from RNAcentral. Lineage: Bacteria; Bacillati; Bacillota; Bacilli; Caryophanales; Bacillaceae.
GCUCCCUGAUGUCUAGUCGGCGGACGGGUGAGUAACACGUGGGUAACCUGCCUGUAAGACUGGGAUAACUCCGGGAAACCGGGGCUAAUACCGGAUGGUUGUUUGAACCGCAUGGUUCAGACAUAAAAGGUGGCUUCGGCUACCACUUACAGAUGGACCCGCGGCGCAUUAGCUAGUUGGUGAGGUAACGGCUCACCAAGGCGACGAUGCGUAGCCGACCUGAGAGGGUGAUCGGCCACACUGGGACUGAGACACGGCCCAGACUCCUACGGGAGGCAGCAGUAGGGAAUCUUCCGCAAUGGACGAAAGUCUGACGGAGCAACGCCGCGUGAGUGAUGAAGGUUUUCGGAUCGUAAAGCUCUGUUGUUAGGGAAGAACAAGUGCCGUUCAAAUAGGGCGGCACCUUGACGGUACCUAACCAGAAAGCCACGGCUAACUACGUGCCAGCAGCCGCGGUAAUACGUAGGUGGCAAGCGUUGUCCGGAAUUAUUGGGCGUAAAGGGCUCGCAGGCGGUUUCUUAAGUCUGAUGUGAAAGCCCCCGGCUCAACCGGGGAGGGUCAUUGGAAACUGGGGAACUUGAGUGCAGAAGAGGAGAGUGGAAUUCCACGUGUAGCGGUGAAAUGCGUAGAGAUGUGGAGGAACACCAGUGGCGAAGGCGACUCUCUGGUCUGUAACUGACGCUGAGGAGCGAAAGCGUGGGGAGCGAACAGGAUUAGAUACCCUGGUAGUCCACGCCGUAAACGAUGAGUGCUAAGUGUUAGGGGGUUUCCGCCCCUUAGUGCUGCAGCUAACGCAUUAAGCACUCCGCCUGGGGAGUACGGUCGCAAGACUGAAACUCAAAGGAAUUGACGGGGGCCCGCACAAGCGGUGGAACAUGUGGUUUAAUUCGAAGCAACGCGAAGAACCUUACCAGGUCUUGACAUCCUCUGACAAUCCUAGAGAUAGGACGUCCCCUUCGGGGGCAGAAUGACAGGUGGUGCAUGGUUGUCGUCAGCUCCUGUCCUGAGAUGUUGGGUUAAGUCCCGCAACAACCGCAACCCUUGAUCUUAGUUGCCACCAUUCAGUUGGGCACUCUAAGGUGACUGCCGGUGACAAACCGGAGGAAGGUGGGGAUGACGUCAAAUCAUCAUGCCCCUUAUGACCUGGGCUACACACGUGCUACAAUGGACAGAACAAAGGGCAGCGAAACCGCGAGGUUAAGCCAAUCCCACAAAUCUGUUCUCAGUUCGGAUCGCAGUCUGCAACUCGACUGCGUGAAGCUGGAAUCGCUAGUAAUCGCGGAUCAGCAUGCCGCGGUGAAUACGUUCCCGGGCCUUGUACACACCGCCCGUCACAACCACGAGAGUUUG